ACAUGCCUACAACAUAGUUUUAAUGCACCAUAUCCCAUUAGAAAUACAUAGUUAAGCACACUUGGGCUAUAGUAAUAUUGGGAUGGGUGACCACCCAAGAAGUCCUAGUGUUUUACAUGCC
Picea glauca (white spruce) is the source of this 121-nucleotide non-coding RNA. The record is from Rfam. NCBI's taxonomy places the organism in Eukaryota, Viridiplantae, Streptophyta, Pinopsida, Pinales, Pinaceae.